Harpia harpyja (harpy eagle) is the source of this 2019-nucleotide long non-coding RNA. RefSeq lists it as uncharacterized. The record is from RefSeq and is a predicted model, not a curated record. The transcript has 3 exons. NCBI's taxonomy places the organism in Eukaryota, Metazoa, Chordata, Aves, Accipitriformes, Accipitridae.
AAACCCAAACAACAAAACCACCACCCACCCCUCCAGAAACCUCUCCUUGACCUGAGAUUUGAACCUGACCUAUGGCUUAAUCACAAGACAGCCAAGAAACAUAUUAGGAAGACCAGCACAGGUCUUUGGAACUAUUUAGCUACAUACACAUAAGAAGCCCACUUAUUCUAUGAUUCUCAAACCACAGAAUUUGCUGCAUAAGUAUUAAAUUCAACACGAAAGUCCAUGUUUACAAACCUGCCUUCCAACCUGUCCUGUUCUUCCCAGCUGCAUGCUAGUGUCAAGUAUAAUAAACAUACUUUCUACUCCAUUAUUUGAACAACUAAUGAAGAUACAAAGCUGUACAAACCUCUGGACAGUCCCCCUGGAAAACCCGACUAAUUCCAAUUCAGUAGCAGAUCACUGAGAACUACUCUCUGUGAACAGAGUAUCCAGCCAGGUUUGCAUGAAUUCCGCAAUAGUUUUUCAAGAACGUUAUGAGAAAGAAAAAUCAGAUUACAUCAAAGACUUACUAAAUUCAAAAUAAUAUAAAGGGAGGCAGGCAAGUACAAGUGCAAAAUGAAUAAAAUAAGAUAUUCCACAUAUUGCUGUGUACCGGACAGAUGUGUGAAGCUUAUAAAUCUGUAUGUCAUUUGGGCAAUCUUAAGACAGAAGAGGUCAUGUCUGAGGGUAUAUUUGUUUAAGAGAAAAGGCUGCUUCGACAGCUUCAGACCUUAUGUCCUUUGUCUUAUUCUUGCUAAAAAGUAGUAGUAGGCGGUAAAAAAACCCUAUUAGACUUUUGCUUUGUCCAUACUUAAUUAUUAUUAGUUAUAAAGAUGGUCAUAUCUACACCUUAUGAUUUCCACUGUGCAAACAGCACAAGCACUUUCUAGGAAAACCUGAACAGCUUACAUGGGACUACAUAAUAAGAGAAAAUUAUUUAAAGAAUGUACAUUUAACUGGCCUAGCUUUGUCUAAAGAGCACUUUCUUUCAGAUGUGGAAAACUGCAUUUGGCACACACAACCACCUAUAUCAGCAACCAAACAAAAUCAAAGUGAGAUACUACUUUCUGAGUGACCUGUGUUACCUUUUAAAGCUUGGUGUCCAUUUAGUUUGGAAUGGAACUGAAAAAUAAUAAGCUGUACUAAAAUUCCCAAAUGUAUCAAAAUAAAGCCUCCAUGCUGCAUUUACUCACAUGUGUGUAAACUCAAGAUGUAAACAAGCUCAUCAGUUUUAAUAGAUUACAAAUAUACCUGAAGUAAAGCAUAUGAAAUGUUAUUUGAAGGCUUAAAUAGCUAACUCAGAUGGCUGAUUCAUGAUAUUGUUAAACCAACAUAAAUUUGGGCUGCUGCCAAAUUAGGCAGUCCUAUUCUCAGCUUCCCACUCUGAUUGUACUCUAGAGGUUUGUUUGGUUAGAUCUGUGGUGCAUGAUGAUUUAAAGCCAAAUCAGUCCCCUGAACUGUCUUACUGCACAACCACAAAAGUGUCAGCACAAGAAAGGCAGCAAAAAGGCUAGGACAGUCCUGUUUGGCAGCAACCCCACUAUAUAUUUAUUUCAAGUGAUCAUGGCACUGCAACCACACCAAAACAUACGACACCUUAUUUGACUUUGGUUUAGCAAUUUUUUUUCAAAAUGUCAGUAAGAAAGUACUGUAAAAUAUUACUCAAAGUGCCAUGCCAUAGAAAAAAAUGUUUUUCCUCUUUCUUUACCUUCCAAGUUAUUAAUGAAUUGUCUAAUCUGUUUGCAUUCUCAAGUGAUUUAUGUUGCAUUGCCUAAUCUAAAAACGUUAUUGGAGCUCACAAGUGAAAAGAUGAAUAGAAGUACGCUCUCAAGAGGUAAGUGAUGAAGAUGAAAAAUACUGUACAUUAAAAAAAAUUAAUACAAAUAUGAAUAAAAAAGAAUUCACUGAAGUAAAACACAAACUGAACUGUGAUAUAAUAUAUUGUUCAAAUAAUUGCGAAAUGCCCAAGUAUUCUACUUUUGCCUGGUAACAGUAUUUAUGGAAUGGUUUAAAUCCUAUCAGUAUUAAUAAAUACUC